Molecule: long non-coding RNA, 241 nt
Filed under: Elaeis guineensis (African oil palm)
Lineage: Eukaryota; Viridiplantae; Streptophyta; Magnoliopsida; Arecales; Arecaceae
Description: long non-coding RNA (EGUI_LNC072949)
Source: RNAcentral
AUAAUAGAAAAUCAGAUCUAAUAUGUAUAUAUAAUCAUGUUAUAUCGAAUCUGACUCUGAUAUCACUGUCAGAAAAUCGACAAGCACAUAGCAUGUAUUUUAAAACUUUCAUGCAGUAAAAAUAUGAGAUUAAACAAUUUAAUCUAUAAAAUAUGCUUGAGAUCUAAUCUUAACGCCUACCCUAGGAUCUAUAAUAAGUCAUACAUGCAUAUAAAGAUCUAAAAAAUAUAAUCUGCAUGCA